Molecule: transfer RNA, 84 nt
Filed under: Paenibacillus sp. PDC88
Lineage: Bacteria; Bacillati; Bacillota; Bacilli; Caryophanales; Paenibacillaceae
Description: tRNA_Tyr_GTA
Rfam family: tRNA
About the family: Transfer RNA (tRNA) molecules are approximately 80 nucleotides in length. Their secondary structure includes four short double-helical elements and three loops (D, anti-codon, and T loops).
Source: RNAcentral
GGAUGGGCACCAAUCACUGGCGAGAAUAGCGGGCUGUAAACCCGUGGCUUAACUGCUGUGUAGGUUCGACUCCUACCUCAUCCA